UUUUAAUUUGUAAAAAGAAGAAUGUAGGAUCUACACAACAUCUGUUAUUUUCUUGUAAUGUGUCUUACAACAUUUGGCAAAUAUUCUAUUUGGUUGGGUUAAUACGGUUCUACUACGUACAAAAUAGAAUAUACCAUUUUAUUUUGGUCGAUCUAUGAUUUGGCACAUGGAAACAAAGUCACGGAGUGCUGGAAGCUUUUGUUAACAUUGAAAUCAAAUAUGUUUCCAUUGAGCAUAGUUGGAUUUUGCUGAGGUGAUUGACAUGAUUAAGGUUAGGAGUUGUUUUGGCUUAAGGCUAGGCUAAAAAUGCCUUCCAUGUCAUCAUAUAUGAGUAGUGGACCUCUUGUAUGUCCUCUUCACUUUGAUGAACAUAUCUUGAUGUAGUUGGGCUUAGGAUACCCCUUUGUGCAGAAUUCUUAUUUAUUUUUUAUCAAGUUCUAAUUAUUAGGUGCUAUAUUUGCUGAUAGCUUGGUGGUGUAAAAGUUUGAUAUUGGUUGGAUGUUUUGGAUGUGCCUUUUGGUUUUUCAAGAAGCUUGUGGAAAAGGAUAAGCACCUAAAAUUGGAUGAAUUAGUGACUAAAUUAUGAUUAUAGAAAAUUGUUUUUUCCUUCACUACUUCUGGGUUCACUAAAUUUUGAUGAUGAAAUUUUUAAAAUUUACAUAUAGAUUGUUCUGGAACUAAUUUCAAUUUUUAUAGUAAUUAAGUUCAAAUAAUUAUAUGAGAGAGGAGUCUUUAUCUUGCAAUUUGAAGAAACAAUUUAUCUAGACUUUCCAAGCUUGAAGGGUCAGUUGUUGAAAACUUGAGUAGGGAUAUUCACCAUAUAUAUGGUUGGGAUUACAUAAUCACUAAAACUUGCCCUAAAAAAGUUGGUGAAUGUUCAUCUAGUACCCUAAAAAAUUUGUUCAAGUUUUUAUUAUUAUUGUAGAUUUCUUCUGUUGUUCAGUUUCUGUUUAAUUAGUGUGUGAUGGUAGCUUGUAAAUAUUUUGAAGAAAAUUAUGAAAUUGUUUAUUGAGGAGUAGGAAAUAUGAGAGGAACAAAACUUUCCUCCUUAAUUUCUUAACAUAAAUAUAUUUAGUUUUUUUUUUAUUUCCCGUGCUUUAUAUAUAAAAUAGCAAGUAUACAAACAAAAAUUAAUCGGUAUGUAGUAUGUACUAUCAAUUUCCUUCUUUUAUUAUCUAAUUUAUUUCUUGUCAUUAUCCUGCACUCUUCAAUUUCUUGACAGUGAAACCCCACUUCUUGGGCAGAGAAUUGUGAAAAAAUGAAUUUGAAUAAAAUAUAAAUAAUAAUCAAAUGAUUAUUGAUUAUACCCAUUUUUCUCUUUAUUUCUUAUUAAGUCAUUUCGUAUUCAAAGACUAAGACAUAAUAAUUUUUUGUUGUCUUUUUGUUCAUAGUGAGAUUUGGACAAAAACCUACUUCUUUCUCCUUUUCCACUUCUGCCUCCUUUAAAUCCUAUCGGACCUUCACCCACAAACUAGGACACCAUUUAUUUUUCCCUGAAAACUAUGCCAAAUUAAUGCUGAGAAUUUAUUUUCAUAGUUUCUGAGUUGUUGGUUGGUCUUCCGUUUUCAGGAAAAUAUUUCAGGCACGAUGGUGAACAACGAAAACAGUGUAGGAUAUAUGAGAUGUAUGUCUGAUUUCUUCCCAUAUUCCAUUUUUUAUUGGUGAAAAUUAUAAAUUGUAAGGCAUUUCUGGAAAUGAAUUAAUUUGAUUAUCAUAAAAUUGUUUUUGGUUGCAUAUAUCUGGGGGAGUUGUCCUGUUGAUUCAAAUUUAUGAGAAUUACUCCGUAUCAGUUAGGUCAGUGCUUUUGUUGGGUUUCACUAAUCCUUUAUGUUGUUUUUAACAUAUAGUUUCUUCUUACUGGCGUAGUGCUUUAUAUAUACAACACUCAAAUAGCAACUUCUAAAUUAUUAAAUAUUAGAAGUUUCUUAAAAUAUUAGAAUGCUAAAGAUUUACCCUAAAAUUUAUUGCAAAUGUGGUGUUUAAAAUAACUGGACGUCAAUUAUUAACUAAAAUUUUCCUGUGGUUUAGUCAUUUUCUAUAAAUGCCUUCAAAUCUACAUUUUGAUUUUUGAGUAAAAUGUUAAUAUGCACAUGUUAUUACCUCUUGAGAUCUAGAUCAUUAUUAGGUUGUUUCUGACUCUAUUUAAGAGUGGAGCAAAUGAUAGAUGUCUUAAUCUUGUAUGAGUGCUUAACGCCCUUACCUCAUUCUUAUUUUCCCCAGUAUCACGAGACUAGGAUAAACGCAGGAUAAAAAUAAUACAUGGAAUCUUGUAGGGAGUAAAACUGUGUGGAAUGACUGAGUGCUAACAACAAUGUCGUUUUUCCUUUAAAAUUUUACAUUUUCUGUUCUAAAAGGCUAAAACUAUAAACAAUUUUGAUUUGAACAUCUUCCAAAUCACGUGGCAAGUUGUAUAGGUCUGUUGACAAGUACAAUACACAAGUGAAGCUUGUGAUCUACUUGUCUUUCAGGAUACACAAAGUGUUGAAUUAAUAAGUAGUGUGGUAGAUUUAUAUAGAUGAACAAUUGGUUCCCAUUGCAGUGAUGCCCUUCAAUAAAUUUAAGCAUAUUUCUUUGUAUUUAUUAUUGUUAUUAUUAUUAUUAUUUUAUUUUACUUACAAUAUUCUUGCCCAUACAUUUGUUUUCAAUUUACAUGUUUGGGUAAUGUUAACAAAAAUAAAAAAAUGCAAAAUCAACAUCGAUUAUGGUAAAAUCGAUGUUGUAAUGCACGAUAUAACAUCAAGUACUAUAAGACAUUGAUUUUUUUUAGAACUAAUGUUUUUUUUUGCAUUUUUUUGUGUAUUUCUUACUAUGCGAGGUCAAUUUUGGGGAGAAUUGAUGUUGUAUCAAUUUUGGGGAGAAUUGAUGUUGUAUAGUGAAUUUCAAUAUCAUUUUUCAUAAUUGAUUUAAAAAAUGAUACUUUUAACGACGGUAGUUUUAACAUUAAUUUCAAACUGAUAUUGAAUGUUAAUAAUAAUCGUUGUUAAAAAUUUAUUUUUUAAUAAUGAAUAAGUUUGAAUAUAAAGUAUCACAACCUAGUUCAACCUAUGCAUAAAGUGUAAGUACAAGUUUUAUAAUAACUCAUAUACAUUACUUAGUGCAUGUUUGGAAUAGUAUUUGGAAUUUGUGUUUGAUCAAUCAGUAAUUUGUUUUGUGUUUGAUCAAUCAAAUUACCUAAAUAUGAAUUCAAACACACUAUUAAUCAAUUUAGCUAGACUUCCUUGAUGCAUAAGAAGUAGCAUUAUCAAUUCACCAUUUUAGUGCCAUUUUGUUCCAUCUGGUGUAUGCUACGGAAGAGUUGGCAACAAUCUGCCAUCACCACAAGAAGUAGUGUCCCUUUCUAAACAGUACGAUUUCCGAAGGAUGAGAAUCUAUGAUCGAAACCAACAAGUCCUCCAAGCUCUAAGAGGUUCCAGCAUUGAGUUGCUGCUAGAUCUCCCUAACAUCGACCUCCAAAGAGUAGCAUCUAGCCAAGACAACGCAAACAGAUGGGUACAAGACAACGUCAAAAAGUUUGGCAAUGUUAGAUUUAGGUACUUUUCAAUGAGAAACGAAGUGAAGCCUUGGGACUCAUUUGCACGGUUUCUAGUACUUGCAAUGCAAAAUAUCCAAAGACCUAUUUCUAGUGUUGGCCUUGGAAACCAAAUCAAAGUUUCCACUGCCAUUGAGACUGGCGCAUUGGCAGAAUCAUACCCUCCAUCAAGAGGGUCCUUUAGGUCUGAUUAUAGAACAGCAUAUCUUGAUGGUGUCAUCAGAUUUCUAGUGAACAACAAUGCCCCAUUAUUGGUUAAUGUGUAAAUUCAAUAACUUUAGCAUUCUCAGGAUAAAAAUCUCGGGAGAAAUUAAAUUCCUAUUUUUUUAAGUCAAAAGAAACAUUAAAUUUAGAAGAAAUUAGAUAAUUAUUAUGUAAUUUAAGUAUAUAAAUUAAGAAUGUAUAACAAUCAUCAGACUAACGAACAAAGUUAGUUUUAAAUAAAAGUUAUAUUAUUAAUAUUUUAUGGUAUAUAAUGGAUAAUCUCUUUUGCUAGCAUUAACUAGGCAUGAUAAAUAAUCUUGUAUUUGUGAGUUUCGCUCUAAAAUCAUUCUAACUUUGAUGGGAAAUAUCUACUUUGAUUAGGUACGAAUAUGAAUACGGGUAUUACCUGAAGUGUUUAAGUGGGAAUAGAGAUGAAUGUUAAAUUAUACUUGUACUUGUAUUGUGGUUGUUACAUUUUUUUUUAUAAUUUUUUUGUCACAAUAUAAGAUUUUAUUGUUAUAAUUUUUUAAAAUAUAAAUCAACUAGGUUAAUAGUUAAAUAAUUAAAUAAUAAACUUAAAAAUAUAAUUGAGUUCUUAAUUUUUUAACUUUAAUUUCUUUGUUAUUCAUGAUAAUUUAUAUAUUGUUUGAAUAAAAUACAAUUUAAAACUUAAUAUAUAAGUAAAGUAAAAUUAUAGAAAAAAUUAUAGUAAAUUAUUCGAUAUACCGAAUCCAAUAAAACUUGAUGGGAAUGAAUAUAAUUAUUAAAAUUUUAAACUUACUUCUUUAAUUUUAUAUCCGUACCCAUUUUGUCUUUUGCAGAGACAAGAAUAUGAAUGUACCUCGCCUUGUUGUCAUCCCUAGCAUUAACUCUAGAAUUUCAUAAUCUCUAGUAUUGUUGAUAACUUUCUUUCAUAGCACGGCCAAUUAGUAUGGAAAUUUUUAAAUGAAAGAUAUAUCUAUUCUUAAUCUCAUCACUACAUAAAUUUCACAAAUUAAUUUCCUUUUGUUCCAAACUCAAUAGAAUCCUUGAGAAAACAAAAGGUUCUUUGUGUUUCAUAGGUUUCAUAAGUAAAGUAAAAUUAUAAAAAAAACUAUAGUAAAUUAUUUGGUAUACCGAAUCCAAUAAAGCUUGAUGGGAAUGAAAUAAGUAUUAAAAUUUUAAACUUACUUCUUUAAUUUUAUAUCUGUACCCAUCCUGUCUUUUGCAGAGGCAAGAAUAGGAAGGAUCAAAUCUGUCUGUGCCUCGCCUUGUUGUCAUCCCUAGCAUUACCUCUAGAAUUUCAUAAUCUCUAGUAUUGUUGAUAACUUUCUUUCAUAGCACGGCCAAUUAGUAUGAAAAUUUUUAAAUGAAAGAUAUAUCUAUUCUUAAUCUCAUCACUACAUAAAUUUCACAAAUUACUUUCCUUUUGUUCCAAACUCAAUAGAAUCCUUGAGAAAACAAAAGGUUCUUUGUGUUUCAUAGGUUUCUUUUGGUCCCAAACUCAACAGAAUCCAUCUAUCAAUGAAUCAUCAAGAGAAGAGUUUUUUUUCCCCACACCAAGAACCAUGAGUUAGAUUAGGGAAUGAAAAGGGAAGUACUGGAGGUGGGUGAAGGAUAAAAAAACUUACCAAGACUUGGCUUCAAAUUCAAUCACUACCAACUUUACCACAGAGCUCUUAGGAAGGGAAGAGAAAGAAUUUGGGAUGAACACAAGGAAGUGUACGGACAAGGCUGACUCAAAUGGGGGCUUGGAUGAUUUGAUCAAUUUCUUAAAAGUCCAUGGUUAAAUG
This 5505-nucleotide long non-coding RNA is filed under the name Glycine max (soybean). RNAcentral describes it as "long non-coding RNA (GMAX_LNC000634)". The record is from RNAcentral. Lineage: Eukaryota; Viridiplantae; Streptophyta; Magnoliopsida; Fabales; Fabaceae.